AAUCAAGAAAGCAAGAAGGAAGAAGAGAAACCACGUGACUCCUCCCUGAGCCCCAGACAGCCCAGGAACUGCCUCCCUGGGAAUGGUGGGAGGGGCUGGACUCUGGAUUGCUCCCUCUGGAUGUGUGGCUCUCCCCUGCAGGAACUCCAAGAACUCCUGGUGCCGCCUGGGCCGAUGCAUUGGACGCCCCAGCCCCUCCGUUCCUGCCCAGCCACUGGGACCGUGUCGAGUGGUGGCACUGCCAGCCCUGCAGUGGGAUGAAGCCUGGAAACUCCCCAGAGCUGAG
This is a long non-coding RNA of Chiroxiphia lanceolata (lance-tailed manakin), 286 nucleotides long. RefSeq lists it as uncharacterized. NCBI's taxonomy places the organism in Eukaryota, Metazoa, Chordata, Aves, Passeriformes, Pipridae. The transcript is spliced from 3 exons. The record is from RefSeq and is a predicted model, not a curated record.